Molecule: unclassified non-coding RNA, 520 nt
Filed under: uncultured Glomus
Lineage: Eukaryota; Fungi; Glomeromycota; Glomeromycetes; Glomerales; Glomeraceae
Description: SSU rRNA
Rfam family: Eukaryotic small subunit ribosomal RNA
Source: RNAcentral
GGCAGCCGCGGUAAUUCCAGCUCCAAUAGCGUAUAUUAAAGUUGCUGCAGUUAAAAAGCUCGUAGUUGAAUUUCGGGAUCAAUAUGUUGGUCGUGCCUCGGUACGUACUAGCUUAUUGGUUUCUCCUUCUGACGAACCAUGAUGUCAUUUAUUUGGUGUUAUGGGAAAUCAGGACUGUUACUUUGAAAAAUUAGAGUGUUUAAAGCAGGCUCACGCUUGAAUACAUUAGCAUGGAAUAAUGAAAUAGGACGUUUGAUUCUAUUUUGUUGGUUUCUAGGAUCGACGUAAUGAUUAAUAGGGAUAGUUGGGGGCAUUAGUAUUCAAUCGUCAGAGGUGAAAUUCUUGGAUUUAUUGAAGACUAACUACUGCGAAAGUAUUUGCCAAGGAUGUUUUCAUUAAUCAAGAACGAAAGUUAGGGGAUCGAAGACGAUCAGAUACCGUCGUAGUCUUAACCAUAAACUAUACCGACUAGGGAUCGGAUGAUGUUAAUUUUUUAAUGUACUCAUUCGGCGCCUUACGG